AAAUUGAAGAGUUUGAUCAUGGCUCAGAUUGAACGCUGGCGGCAGGCCUAACACAUGCAAGUCGAACGGUAACAGGAAGCAGCUUGCUGCUUCGCUGACGAGUGGCGGACGGGUGAGUAAUGUCUGGGAAACUGCCUGAUGGAGGGGGAUAACUACUGGAAACGGUAGCUAAUACCGCAUAAUGUCGCAAGACCAAAGAGGGGGACCUUCGGGCCUCUUGCCAUCGGAUGUGCCCAGAUGGGAUUAGCUUGUUGGUGGGGUAACGGCUCACCAAGGCGACGAUCCCUAGCUGGUCUGAGAGGAUGACCAGCCACACUGGAACUGAGACACGGUCCAGACUCCUACGGGAGGCAGCAGUGGGGAAUAUUGCACAAUGGGCGCAAGCCUGAUGCAGCCAUGCCGCGUGUAUGAAGAAGGCCUUCGGGUUGUAAAGUACUUUCAGCGGGGAGGAAGGGAGUAAAGUUAAUACCUUUGCUCAUUGACGUUACCCGCAGAAGAAGCACCGGCUAACUCCGUGCCAGCAGCCGCGGUAAUACGGAGGGUGCAAGCGUUAAUCGGAAUUACUGGGCGUAAAGCGCACGCAGGCGGUUUGUUAAGUCAGAUGUGAAAUCCCCGGGCUCAACCUGGGAACUGCAUCUG
This 639-nucleotide ribosomal RNA is filed under the name Escherichia coli. RNAcentral's name for it is "bacterial SSU rRNA". It matches the Rfam family "Bacterial small subunit ribosomal RNA", at positions 1 to 629 of the family's 1533-position model. The record is from RNAcentral. Lineage: Bacteria; Pseudomonadati; Pseudomonadota; Gammaproteobacteria; Enterobacterales; Enterobacteriaceae.